AAGCUCGUAGUUGAAUUUCGGGGUCAGUAGGUUGGUCAUGCCACUGGUAUGUACUGGUCUCACUGAUUCCUCCUUCCUGAUGAGCCGUAAUGCCAUUAAUUUGGUGUUGCGAGGAAUCUGGACUGUUACUUUGAAAAAAUUAGAGUGUUUAAAGCAGGCUAACGCUUGAAUCCAUUAGCAUGGAAUAAUGAAAUAGGACGUUCGAUCUUAUUUUGUUGGUUUCUAAGAUUGACGUAAUGAUUAAUAGGGAUAGUUGGGGGCAUUAGUAUUCAAUUGUCAGGGGUGAAAUUCUUGGAUUUAUUGAAGACUAACUACUGCGAAAGCAUUUGCCAAGGAUGUUUUCAUUAAUCAAGAACGAAAGUUAGGGGAUCGAAGACGAUCAGAUACCGUCGUAGUCUUAACCAUAAACUAUGCCGACUAGGGAUCGGAUGAUGUUAAUUUUUUAAUGACUCAUUCGGCGCCUUACGGGAAACCAAAGUGUUUGGGUUCCGGGGGGAGUAUGGUCGCAAGGCUGAAACUUAAAGGAAUUGACGGAAGGGCACCACCAGGCGUGGAGCCUGCGGCUUAAUUUGACUCAACACGGGGAAACUUACCAGGUCCAGACAUAGCAAGGAUUGACAGACUGAGAGCUCUUUCUUGAUUCUAUGGGUG
RNAcentral lists this ribosomal RNA (651 nucleotides) under uncultured Rhizophagus. RNAcentral's name for it is "SSU rRNA". It matches the Rfam family "Eukaryotic small subunit ribosomal RNA", at positions 624 to 1276 of the family's 1831-position model. Lineage: Eukaryota; Fungi; Glomeromycota; Glomeromycetes; Glomerales; Glomeraceae. The record is from RNAcentral.